This is a long non-coding RNA of Paramacrobiotus metropolitanus, 1176 nucleotides long. RefSeq lists it as uncharacterized. The transcript has 3 exons. Lineage: Eukaryota; Metazoa; Tardigrada; Eutardigrada; Parachela; Macrobiotidae. The record is from RefSeq and is a predicted model, not a curated record.
AUUAAUAUGUUGUGUAUUUGUACCACAGUAAUUAAAUAUUCAAGUACGACAGCUUGGCUAUCUAUUCCCGACAAAUGUUUUAGCUUAGCAUAAGUUCCCACUAAAUAAAUAUUUCCCACUCUAUAAGGGCCAAAAAAUCACCACAAAUAUGUACGCGACCUUUACCGAAGCGGCCAUCAAUGCUGUUAACCCUUGCCCGUCGCAGACGUCCACAUUCACACCAGUUAGAAACAGCAGAUCUUGCACGAGCCUCAUAUUACCAUGUGCUGCUGCAGUUACGAAAGAUAUUGCUUCAGUUUCUUUUCGCCCGGGUGCUGCAAAGUGUGCUAUCCUGUCCACGGAAUUCACCAAAUCAACAUCGUAUUCCAUUUUACCACACAACGGGUGCAUUUUUGUGAUAAACUUGUGCAUCUCCAUUAAGAUAUCGCUGUUGUUUGCAAAUGUUUCUGUUUCUGGAAUAUCCUUGCGCAUCGUGCUGUAUUUUAGAUGUUUCGCAAAUUCCAAGUCCAUGAUUUCCCGGAAUUCUACUAACGCCACUUCUCCAAGUGGCACAGCGGUAAGCUGAAACUGCUUGUCGGCCAUCAGGACAUUCCAGACUGCUGCUAACUGAUCACCAGUAGCCGCAUUUGUGCUUUGGAGCAACUGCUCUCGUGGAUUCCAGGUUAACGGAACGACGAACGGACAGUUGGCCAUAAUUUCAGUAAGCAAGGGAAUUUUUGGGAUCGCCAUGUUUUUCGGGACCGGUUUGGCGAUUCUGCUUUUGAAGAAUGACGUUGCUGCGUACUGUGCGUCCAAUGAAUCAGACAAUUCAACCGUACUGCUGCUGCAAGAAGAAACCCAACGAGUUGCCGCAUGGGCUCCUAUGGAAUUCCAGUUCGGCCAAAAGAAAUGUUGUGACUGGAGAGAAUUCGCUUGUGCAGGAUGGUCAUCGCAUCCCAAUGUCACUCUGCCGUUUUUCUUUGAGAUCACUCGCAACAAUGUCAGCAUUCAGCACGGGAAUUUUUACUUAUGCGGCGACUGUCUGGCAGUCCUCCGCGAUACCACGUUGGAAUUGUUCAAUCAUCAGGGCAAAUUAAUAUGGCGUUCGGGCAAGGAAAAAAAAACCACAAGGAAAACAGUUCUGACGUGUUGUAGGUUUUGACCAUCGCACUUUGUAGACUGUCAGCUGUUUAUUUU